Molecule: ribosomal RNA, 301 nt
Filed under: uncultured bacterium
Lineage: Bacteria
Description: bacterial SSU rRNA
Rfam family: Bacterial small subunit ribosomal RNA
Source: RNAcentral
GGUUAACGCUGGCGGCAUGCCUAAUACAUGCAAAUCGAACGAAGCCUUUUGGCUUAGUGGUGAACGGGUGAGUAACACGUAUCCAAUCUACCCUUAAGUUUGGGAUAACUAGUCGAAAGAUUAGCUAAUACCGGAUAAUAACAUUCACUUGCAUGAGUGGAUGUGGAAAGUUGCGUUUGCAACGCUUUUGGAUGAGGGUGCGACGUAUCAGAUAGUUGGUGAGGUAACGGCCUACCAAGCCGACGAUCAGUAGCCGACCUGAGAGGGUGACCGGCCACAUUGGGACUGAGACACGGCCCAA